UAAACGCGGGGAUGUGUUUCCACUCGAAGAGUCAGUAUUUAAAGGAGGUUGUUUUGAGGUAUUUACAGUACAUUUUAUAUGUACAAAUAACAUAGAGUCAAUUUGUAGGCAAAAUCUUAAUUUUAUACUGAUUUUAUAAAAAAUGUCAAGGUUAUGUAAAUCAAACCACGCCUUUUAAAAAUGUAAACGCUGGGAUACUCCGCCACGUCCAUAAAAGCGAAAACACUUGCGAAAGUAUAGACGUGAGUGAGAAGUGUAGAUGUUUAUAAUGCAACUUGUAAAAUGCGUCGGAGAGUGUUUUCAGCGGCGCAAGGUGGCAUCAGUAGAGCAUCACCGCACUGAAGAACACAGAAAAGGUCUUCUUAACUCAAUAAUCUCAACAGGUGUUUUAAAUGUCUCGUAAACGAGUCAUCAUCGUCGUCAUCAUCCACCUACUCCAACUUCUUCUGCACUACAAUCAGGGUUUUUUCGUUGCACUCAUGUCACAAAGAUACAGCGCAGGCAAAGCGAAAUAUACGGGCAAACUUGCGAAACAAAAAUAAUGUAAUAUAAUACUUUUUUAUGCCCAAUAAUAGAGUACAAUAAACAUCCCCCAAAUGUAUGUUGAAUUAAUUAAAAUGUUCAUGAAAGCGAUAAUGUAAAACUUAAGGUAAUGAAGGCACCAAAAUUAUAUAACAACUUAAAAUAUCUUCAAAAGGAAAUAUCUCUUUGCACGUAUAUGUUUGUUUUGUACUUUAUUAAUAAAGCACCGAAAAGGGAAAAACGGUAGCGGCGUGUGACCCAAGACGCUGAAAAAGUUGCCGCGUGCUUUAAAAGCCACAGGUGCAAGAAGUUAUUCCUUAAUGGCGGCUCGACCUGGUCCAGGUGAACGGGUGAGAUAGAACGAUACGUUGGGAUUUCUGCAGACCAGGUCAAAGUUGUCCAGCAUCAAAGUACUCUUCUGAAAAUGGAAGAAAAGAUUGGUCAUCCUGAAGACCUUCAAAACAGCUGUACUCUCUUGAGUACACAAGAAAAGCUGCUGAAGAUUAAUGAUCACGCACUUUGUGUCAGUGGGAGACGGUAGAACAACGCUGGACAACCGUGUGCUAUCAGAGGAAAACAGCUGGGCUCAACGGCAACAAGGAUGCACACAUCUGAGCGAGUCUCAGACCUCAAACCGUACAAAGCAUGUCCUGGACUCCAUGCCAGCCAAUCAGAGAGCUUCAGUCCAAUCACACUGAGCACAGUGCAGUAAACACCAAACAUUUUUAGCAUGAUGUCAGUGGAUGAAAUUUUUCUUGAUCUCUGGGACAUUUCCCAUGCAUGUCAGAGAAUAACUGCUGUUUUUACAUCCUAGUAAGGCUGCAAAGAGGCUUUUACGAUUCCCUCCACUCUCUCAUUCAUGUUUUCCCCAUUCCUCUUCUUCUUUACUAGUGUUAUUAUUUAGAAUGAUGUGACUAAUAUAUUUACUAAUGGAAAAUAGAAGAUGCAGAGCUGAAGUAAAAACUUAGAGAAGAAUGGAUAAGAUCAUCGCAGUAUCCUAGCUGGGCACUGAAGGAGUCUGACUUCAGUAUGAUAUAAUUCACCUGUUUUGUGUUGCGUUGCUUUACACAUAUAUAGUAUAAUUUGCGCGGAAAAUGUAAGUGUAACUUUUUUCUUCAAAUGUAAGAGGUUACUGUUUGGAGAAUUUGGCAUUUUUAAACCAUUUUGAUGAACCUCGAUUGAAGGCGUGCAGUCCCACAAAACAGUGGAGCCAGUGGCAACCUUAGAUGAUUAGAGGUAUGAUUGAUAAGGUCAAAGUCAAGAAGGUCAAAGUGCAUUUAGUUUUAUCCAGUAGAAGUGAAUGACCAACAAGGUAAUAUUUGUUCCAGAAUAAAAAGUUUUGACAUGUAUAGAGAAUUGACUUUUUAGAGGCUUAAACCACAUUUUAUUAUUGAUACACGUUUUUCUUUAUGUCUUUGGUUUUCUUUUGUCCAAGUGCUAUUUCCAUCAGUCAACAUUAGCCUUCUGGUGCUGUGGACUUGUGUGAGUGUUCUGCUGGUUUCAGUUCUGGUUUUGUUCAGCACACUGAGAAACCUGCUGUACCUAAUAAACUAUGAAAGAGAGUGUUGAAAAGCCCUGUCAGGGACCAGUGCUGAGUGAUAAGGAGAAGUUACAGACCUGUUCUAUCAUCCAUUAUAAUGGGAAGCAUUACAUCAUUUUCUAAUAGGUGUGACAACCUAGUGGUGGUGAGUUGACAUGGGUUGGGGGCGGGGGCACUUGUGUUUGAGUGCUGUAUUGUUCACAGACACUCACAAUAGCCUUGCAGGGCCUGGAGAAGGUUACUGUGCUGCACAGACAGAUAAUGUGGUUCAGGCAGAACUAUGGAGAACAGCAAAAAGGAAAAAGGCAGGAGGGUUGACAGUGUUUGUGAAAGACAGAUGGUGUCAUUUUUGUGAAAGAACAUCACUGCUAUCGAGGCACUGUCUUCUGUGAGAGCUCUCACAUAUUUUUGUGAUAGCAGCAUGUGUGUCCUGGGCUGUCUGCCUGUCUGUGGUUAGCAGGCUGUAAACACAGCACUAUCAGGCUUUUCUUUCUUCUUCAAAAGCUUCAAGCAUCUCUUCUCCACCAGCCCAAUAUCACCCAUGUUGCACUGAAGACAAUUCAUGAAAAUAACUAGAUGCAGACACCACACAUCUGAACACAGCUUGCUUCAUAUCCUGCUAGUGUCACCUCCAUGAUGGUCAAUGAAUUAUUGUGUCAAUCAUUUCCAAUAUGAGUCUGAAUCUUGGAAGGGUAAACAAAACAUCGACAGACGCUAGGACUGGUCUGUGUUCCUCUCCUCACGUCAUGGCACCAUUAAUAGACCUGCUGCAACUUUUUUUGCAUAUACCUGUAUUUACCUGCCAUUAACUGUGGAGUUGUCUGUCGGUGCAGUAACGUCUAGACAUCAGACAUAAACAGACUGAAUUAAAACAAUACUGCUUGAUCCUUGAUAAUGAAUGAUAAUAUAGCUAUCAUUUCUGAGGGACAGUCUGACAAAUGGAUCAAAAGUGUCUUUAAUUUUUUUUUUUUAUCUUUAGAUAACUUGUGAACACAAACAUCAC
Molecule: long non-coding RNA, 3065 nt
Organism: Cynoglossus semilaevis (tongue sole)
Lineage: Eukaryota; Metazoa; Chordata; Actinopteri; Pleuronectiformes; Cynoglossidae
Exons: 4
Source: RefSeq, a predicted model, not a curated record